Molecule: ribosomal RNA, 497 nt
Filed under: uncultured bacterium
Lineage: Bacteria
Description: partial 16S ribosomal RNA
Rfam family: Bacterial small subunit ribosomal RNA
Source: RNAcentral
GAUGAACGCUGGCGGCGUGCCUAAUACAUGCAAGUCGAGCGAACGGACGAGAAGCUUGCUUCUCUGAUGUUAGCGGCGGACGGGUGAGUAACACGUGGAUAACCUACCUAUAAGACUGGGAUAACUUCGGGAAACCGGAGCUAAUACCGGAUGAUAUUUUGAACCGCAUGGUUCAAAAGUGAAAGACGGUCUUGCUGUCACUUAUAGAUGGAUCCGCUCUGCAUUAGCUAGUUGGUAAGGUAACGGCUUACCAAGGCAACGAUGCAUAGCCGACCUGAGAGGGUGAUCGGCCACACUGGAACUGAGACACGGUCCAGACUCCUACGGGAGGCGGCAGUAGGGAAUCUUCCGCAAGGGGCGAAAGCCUGACGGAGCAACGCCGCGUGAGUGAUGAAGGUCUUCGGAUCGUAAACCUCUGUUAUUAGGGAAGAACAUAUGUGUAAGUAACUGUGCACAUCUUGACGGUACCUAAUCAGAAAGCCACGGCUAACUACGUG